RNAcentral lists this ribosomal RNA (304 nucleotides) under uncultured bacterium. RNAcentral describes it as "bacterial SSU rRNA". It matches the Rfam family "Bacterial small subunit ribosomal RNA", at positions 28 to 334 of the family's 1533-position model. The record is from RNAcentral.
GAUGAACGCUGGCUGUGUGCCUAAUACAUGCAUGUCGAGCGAAGUGAUUUAUCACUUAGCGGCGAAUGGGUGAGUAACACGUACUCAACGUACCCUUCAGUUUGGCAUAGCGGUUGGAAACAACCGAUAAUUCCAAAUACUCGUAGAUGCCGCAUGGCAUUUACGGAAAAGACGCCUUAAAGCGUCGCUGGAGGAGCGGGGUGCGCAACAUUAGCUAGUUGGUGAGGUAACGGCCCACCAAGGCAAUGAUGGGUAGCCGGCCUGAGAGGGUGAACGGCCACAAGGGGACUGAGACACGGCCCUU